GGGGAUAUAGCACAGUGGUAGUGCCCUUAUCUAGCAUGUGGGAGGCCCUGGUUUCAAUCCCCAGUACCCUCC
RNAcentral lists this transfer RNA (72 nucleotides) under Marmota marmota marmota (Alpine marmot). It matches the Rfam family "tRNA". From Rfam's summary of the family: Transfer RNA (tRNA) molecules are approximately 80 nucleotides in length. Their secondary structure includes four short double-helical elements and three loops (D, anti-codon, and T loops). Further hydrogen bonds mediate the characteristic L-shaped molecular structure. tRNAs have two regions of fundamental functional importance: the anti-codon, which is responsible for specific mRNA codon recognition, and the 3' end, to which the tRNAs corresponding amino acid is attached (by aminoacyl-tRNA synthetases). tRNAs cope with the degeneracy of the genetic code in two manners: having more than one tRNA (with a specific anti-codon) for a particular amino acid; and 'wobble' base-pairing, i.e. permitting non-standard base-pairing at the 3rd anti-codon position. Lineage: Eukaryota; Metazoa; Chordata; Mammalia; Rodentia; Sciuridae. The record is from Rfam by way of RNAcentral. RNAcentral also lists the same sequence under 3 other names.